RNAcentral lists this ribosomal RNA (633 nucleotides) under Triticum aestivum (bread wheat). RNAcentral's name for it is "partial small subunit ribosomal RNA". The record is from RNAcentral. Lineage: Eukaryota; Viridiplantae; Streptophyta; Magnoliopsida; Poales; Poaceae.
AUGGCGUCGGCGCGCCGCCUGCUGCAGACCUACCCGGGCCAGUUCCAGGCCGCCGAGCCGCCCGACGCCCUCGGCGCCGACUCCGACGUCGUCGUCAUCCUCGCCGCGCUGCUCUGCGCGCUCCUCUGCGUCGUCGGCCUCGCCGCCGUCACCGGCUGCGCGCGCUCCCGCCGCGGCGCUGGGGGCACCAGAUCCGCCGCCUCCUCCGGCCCCGACGCGAACAAGGGGCUCAAGAAGAGGGCGCUCAUGGCGCUGCCGAAGCUGGCGUACGAGGACGCCGUGGCGGCGGCCGUCGCGGCGCGCGGCGGCACGGCCUCGGCGGCGGCCGGGGAGGGGCAGGAGGGGAUCCUCUCGGAGUGCGCCAUCUGCCUGUCGGAGUACGCGGGGAAGGAGGAGAUCCGCGUCCUGCCGCAGUGCGGCCACGGCUUCCACGUCGCCUGCGUCGACGCCUGGCUCCGCGCGCACUCCUCCUGCCCUUCCUGCCGCCGCGUCGUCGUCGUCGUCGCCGACGCGGCGCCCCGCAAGAUGCCGCCCGAGCCCAAGCGGUGCCGCAAGUGCGAGUCCAUGGAGGAGGCGUCCUCCUCCGCCUCCGCGACCGCCGGCGACCACAGGGCCGCCCGUUUCUUGCCAUGA